AUGGCACUCACUUGUAACCGAGGAAAAAUUGGAAAUUGUACUAAUAUUAAAAUUCUACCUUUUUUUUCAUACCGGGCGUUAACCGAGGCAGGAGAAUUGCUGAGCAUUUCCGAAACGCAGAGUUACGUAUCUAGGAAAAUGAGGAUGAAGUGGAUAACACACAGCUUUUUACUCUCAUUGAUUUGGAAAGUAACAUAUGUCUGCCCGCUUGCUACUCGUAGUAGUAUUACAGCGGUGGUCACGGCACCAGGAGACACGGUGGUGGGCUCCCCUGAAAAACAAAAUAGUCGAGAUAAAAGAUCCGACUCCUAUGUACAACCGCAGCCCAUCAGGACAAACAGCGACCAAAAAAGAAGGCGCGAGUCCUUCACCGUCUACCAUGAAGGCCAAAAAGUAAGUAAAACGUCUCUAUUGCUUGGUAUUUCUAUCGGUUGUAAUCCGACAAGGAACAGUGGCAUUACAUUUUGGCAUUUUUAUUACACAUUGGCAACCACAAUCUCUGACUAUCCCAUAAAAGCACAUAUCUGCAUUGGGAAACCAAUGGCAUGUACGUUGUUUCUAAAAUGGGCCAGAAAUAGUGGUUCCUUAUUGCAAAAUGCAAUCCAGUGGAGGUUAGGUAUCGUAGAGCGCCAGAGAGUGCUGUAAGGAUACUUAUAUGUAUGUCCAACGAUUCUAUAAGCACAGACAACUAAAGAAGUUUCCCAUUUUCUUCUCUCCGUGCAAUUUUGAAAUUAAUUUAUUUUAAAGUUUAAUGAAGUGCCUGAGAAAAAGAUUAAAUUGUAAUUUGAAAUGCGGGUUUACACAACUACUUUAUUUAAAUGUUUAAUUCUUGAUUCACUUAUACUUUUAAAAUUACAUCUCAUAAGGCUCAUAAUUUUUUUAUAAUUUUUAUAUUAUGAUGACUGCCGUACAAUAAUGUUCUUAUUGACUCGCCACCUUCAUCCGCAGUUUAGCUCAUCCGCAGUCGAUUGAAGCUUUUUUUAUUUUAAUUUUUUUCUAUCUUUACAAGCAACUAUGGCCGAAUGGUAGUUUCCGCACAAAGAGAAAAAAUCACUGCACUUUAAACAAUUGCCGUUGAGUAGUUUUCCGUCUAAAAAAUAAAUUAUGUCAGGAAGUCUGCAACGUCGCAAAUCGAGAUGUAUGGUUGUGAACUUACAUCUAGAGGACCUCUAUUGAGAGAGUAUGGCCACUGGUGUUACCACCUCUGAUUGGCUCAGCCAUCUUAGGCUGAAUGGAGCCCUUAGGACCCAAAAAUGGCGGACGCCAUAAAUUAAUGUGAUGCAAAAUGACUCAAAAUGUAGUUUUCUUUGCUUAUCGUAACGAGAAAUUUACCCAAAUGCACUACUGCGACUUCUUUACAUAUUUUUAAGGCUAAUCAUGUGCAAUUUUUGAGAAAAAUUAUCUUGGAUAUAGUAAGGUUGGCAGCAAGUGCGGUUGGUGAUAACCGUCAAAAGUUGGCAAUGACGCCCCUCCCAUCCACAAAAACCAAAACAAAGCACCGCCAUUUUUGGGUCCUAAGCCUCUCCAUGGGGCCCAGUGGCCAUACUCUCUCAAUAUAGGUACUCUACUUACACCGUCAGUAUAUCAUAAUGCUUAAAGUUGCGCAGUGGCGUGGCGUGUUUUGCGAUCUAUCGAUAUUUCCCCCAUUUGAAGCUGUGGUAAAUAAUCGAUUAUUAAGGUGUUUGCUGCGAACACCCUGUUUAUCGAUCCUUUUCCAUAAGUUUAAAUGGCAUAACGAUCGAUAUAUCGCAAUUCACGCCACGCCACUGAAGUUGCGCCUUGUUUAGUGGUUCACUCACAUUACUGCGUCCAAUUAAUAUCGAACUUUGUUUCUUUGGAAAAAGGUAACCUCCAAAAGGAGUCACCCGGUCGACACUGGAUCGGGGUCGGGAGGAAAUUGGGGUCAGCCUUCACUAAGCAAGUCGUACGGGUUCUAUCUAAUGCGAAAUCUAAGUUGAUACAGAAAA
RNAcentral lists this long non-coding RNA (1967 nucleotides) under Bemisia tabaci. Its description in RNAcentral is "lncRNA ENSSSA1UGG000932". The record is from RNAcentral. Lineage: Eukaryota; Metazoa; Arthropoda; Insecta; Hemiptera; Aleyrodidae.